GCAUAAUUUAUACAACAUAUGAAAGGAAAUUUUCUCUCAUUUUCUCAACUUGCCUGCGCCGUUUACGGAAAAACCCUAGUGAGACUUCCACUCCAAUCCGCCGGGAAUUGCAUAAGACCACCGAAUCGCCGACGUCAUCGACGCAAAACCCAGCCAACACAGACUUAUCCACGCCGUUUGCAAGUUUUUAGACUCAAAGGACGACCAACUCGAAUCUCUAACCCCACCUUCCAAACCGACGUCGCCGGCACAAACCCUAACCGACGAACGCUUUGCCACGGUCACCAGAAACUAUCCACCACGGAAUAGAUUCGCAAACCCUAGCCCCAAUUCACGGCGUUCAGAAGCAACUCAAUUAGAUCGAAGUCGGUUUUGAUUUCAGAAUCGGAGAAAUAAUGGAAGGCAUUAGACGAUUCAAUGGUCUGUUAGAUGGUUUGGGUCCACGGUUUGAAGAUUGGUGAGGAACUGGGGUGCUUCCUGUUGAUGCUGAACAACACCCUCCGAAUAUUCCCGAAUGCAAGACAUCGUUUAGGCUUCUUCCUACUGGAAUGCGCCCACGACUAACCAAUGCUGAGAUGACCAACUUAUAGAAGCUUGCUAAGUCGCUUCCUUGCCACUUUGCCCUUGGUAAUUUACCUUCGGUUACUCAAAGAGAAGUAAAAAAUGGAAGGAAAAAGGAAGAGCAGGUGGAUAUCUCAUAGUGACAGCAAAAAAGGAAAUCAAGCUGCAAUCGAUAGGAAAAAGUGGAUGGGCGGCGAAAAGUUCCUAACAAUUGGAGAAAGUAAUAAUCAGAGCCUGGGAGAGACAGAAAGUUUAUUGUUUGGAGAACCUACAAAGGCCUAACACCUACCACCCAUUCCGAUGCAGAAUAUGGUCAACAAAUUCGAGGUUAAAAUUUUUUAAAAAUAAGGUAAUCUCAAAAAAUUUCUUCACCAAAAAUGAAUAAGUGGCAACAUUGGAAAGAUGAGAGGCUUCUCUUUUCCAGUGCAGUAACAUGCCUGAAAAUGUCAAUCCUGAAUUAUUAUCCAGACUAAUAGUUACAUCUAUUUUUUGCAGGUGAUACAUGUUUUAAAGAUAGUAAUAUUAUAUUUCAGAUUAAUUAAAUUACAUUAGUUACCUAUAAAUCUGAACGAAUACUGCAUAAUUUAGUCUUAACUUAUCUUUUAAUUAAAAUUCAAUUAGUUAUCAUUGUAAUGACUGAGUUUUUAUUUGGAGAAUUCUAGCACUAACCAAAUACAUUUCAUUUUCAGGUACUGAUGGAAUAAAAAAAUAGAAUAGGUUUGCAGCAUUGGAAAUAUGACUUCUUGUUUGUUGUGUAUACUGACACACGCACACACCAUCUUACAUUUAAAGGAAUUGUAUUCUCUGCACUUUGUAUCGAUAUUAUUAAACAAAAAAUAUAAUAAUUACACAGGCAGCAAA
Molecule: long non-coding RNA, 1422 nt
Organism: Salvia splendens (bonfire salvia)
Lineage: Eukaryota; Viridiplantae; Streptophyta; Magnoliopsida; Lamiales; Lamiaceae
Exons: 6
Source: RefSeq, a predicted model, not a curated record